RNAcentral lists this transfer RNA (76 nucleotides) under Bacillus licheniformis. RNAcentral describes it as "tRNA-Val". It matches the Rfam family "tRNA". Rfam says of the family: Transfer RNA (tRNA) molecules are approximately 80 nucleotides in length. Their secondary structure includes four short double-helical elements and three loops (D, anti-codon, and T loops). Lineage: Bacteria; Bacillati; Bacillota; Bacilli; Caryophanales; Bacillaceae. The record is from RNAcentral.
UUCCGUAGCUCAGCUGGGAGAGCGCUACCUUGACAGGGUAGAGGUCGCUGGUUCGAGCCCAGUCGGAAUCAUACCA